Molecule: long non-coding RNA, 1684 nt
Organism: Amphiprion ocellaris (clown anemonefish)
Lineage: Eukaryota; Metazoa; Chordata; Actinopteri; Pomacentridae
Source: Ensembl
UUGAAGGUGAAGUUGUUUUCCAGUGUGGGGAUUGGUUAGGGAUGCGGAAGUGACUGUGAGGGGGCGGGGAAAUAAACAAGAGCCCUAACGGUGACCAGCGAUGUGUUUUAGAAGUUAAACAAGUUGUUUAAAGUCCGAGUUUCUAUUAGUUAGAUUUGAUUAUUAAAUCUUUUUAUUUUGCCUCGCUGGAUGCGUAUAGUUGUGGACCGCAGAUGCACAGAUGUUGUUUUUAUUUUCAUUGAUCAAAACGGAGAUUCUGUGUGAGCGGGUUCAAGCUAACGGCUAGGCUAACCGCUAAAGCUAACGGCUAAGCUAACGGACGGGCUAGCGUCCUCACGGCCUGAGUGGACUUUUUAGCGGACAGACUGAGGUGUUUCUGGACCAGGAGUUACCUGCCGCCCCUCAGACCUGCGGUUCUUUUACCGGGACCUUGGAUUGUUUGUCGGCGGACCGCUGGCUUUCACACACCGGGCUGUGAACUCCGCUACGGGGAUCCUGUUGGCUGCUAACUGAGACAUUUGCUGACGGUGGAGGAGAUCAACUACUCCGUGGGCUGCUUCCUGUAAAUCACCGUGGGGUUUUCCACUCACGACCAUCUGGAGAUCAACUCACAGGCCUGCAACGUUUUGAGGUCUCCAGUGGAACGGUUCCACGACUACAGUGUCAGUGAUGUGACCUUCAACCCCCAUGGAGCUCCGCCUGCCUCCAGGAAGAAGGAUGACUCAGCCGACCAAUCGGAGCCUAGGUCGACCUGUCGGCCAUGUUGUGGACGUUUGGUUGGUUCAGGACACAGAAAACAUCCACGUGGAGUCCAGAACCCACCGAGCUGCUGGUCCAGUCCAUCAGUUCAAACACAACACCAGCGUUUUUAACCAGAAAACAUCAGAAUGAUCUGAUUUCAUCUGCUGGGAAAACACCAACCAGUCAAACCUGCCUCCAUGUUGGUCCUACAGGAUGAUAGAAAGUAAAGACGAGCUGAUGGUUGCAGCACAACGACUUUAAAAGCAGAAUUUGUGUCUUUUUUAUUCACCGUAACUACAAUCUGGCUUCAUCUGUGAGCUCAACACUUCAAACGUUACCCUGGGAUUCAGUCACAUGUUGGUUGGUGUUGGUUCUUCUCAUUAAAACUCCAAAAAGUUGGUUUAAAAACAUGAAUCGUAGUUUGAGAUGCAACAAUUAGUCGAUUAGUUGUCAGCCUUUGAAUUAAUUUUUAUUACUUUGUUGUUUUUUUAAAAUUACAAACUUUCUAAAUGUAAAUAUUUUAGAUAUUUUAGUCAGUAAACUGAACACCUCUGAGUUAUGGACAAUACGAGACGUUUAUGGACGUUUUAGUCUUUGGAAACACUGAUCGACGGUCCUUUAGAGACCAAACAACUAAUUGAUGAAUGAGUAAAAUAAUGAACAGUGCACGAGUUUAGUUCUGAUUUGAUCAUUGCUGAACGUCUCUUUAUGUUUAUCAGUUUUGGAACCAAUAAUUUCAGUUACAUGCUGCGUGAAAAUCAAAGUUCAGUCAUUUAAAAGUAGGAAUUUGCUGCUUUUCUGUUUUUUUGCUUUUUUUGACGUAAAUUGACCUUUUUCGAAUUUUUAACCGUGUCCUUGAAUAAUAGUUCAUUGAUAGACACAAGGAGUCUUAAGCCACAUUAACAUGGAUGUUUGUCAAGGUUUUUUUUUUAUUGUAUUUCGG